Molecule: ribosomal RNA, 685 nt
Filed under: uncultured beta proteobacterium
Lineage: Bacteria; Pseudomonadati; Pseudomonadota; Betaproteobacteria
Description: bacterial SSU rRNA
Rfam family: Bacterial small subunit ribosomal RNA
Source: RNAcentral
AGUGGCGAACGGGUGAGUAACACAUCGGAACGUGCCUGGUAGUGGGGGAUAGCCCGGCGAAAGCCGGAUUAAUACCGCAUACGACCUGAGGGUGAAAGCGGGGGACCUGAGAGGGCCUCGCGCUAUUGGAGCGGCCGAUGGCAGAUUAGCUAGUUGGUGGGGUAAAGGCCUACCAAGGCGACGAUCUGUAGCUGGUCUGAGAGGACGACCAGCCACACUGGGACUGAGACACGGCCCAGACUCCUACGGGAGGCAGCAGUGGGGAAUUUUGGACAAUGGGCGCAAGCCUGAUCCAGCCAUGCCGCGUGCGGGAAGAAGGCCUUCGGGUUGUAAACCGCUUUUGUCGGGGAAGAAACGGCUCUGGUUAAUACCUGGGGCUAAUGACGGUACCCGAAGAAUAAGCACCGGCUAACUACGUGCCAGCAGCCGCGGUAAUACGUAGGGUGCGAGCGUUAAUCGGAAUUACUGGGCGUAAAGCGUGCGCAGGCGGCUUUGCAAGACAGGUGUGAAAUCCCCGGGCUUAACCUGGGAACUGCAUUUGUGACUGCGGAGCUGGAGUACGGCAGAGGGGGAUGGAAUUCCGCGUGUAGCAGUGAAAUGCGUAGAUAUGCGGAGGAACACCGAUGGCAAAGGCAGUCCCCUGGGCCUGUACUGACGCUCAUGCACGAAAGCGUGGGGAGCAAAC